Long non-coding RNA from Rosa rugosa (rugosa rose), 1723 nucleotides. RefSeq lists it as uncharacterized. Lineage: Eukaryota; Viridiplantae; Streptophyta; Magnoliopsida; Rosales; Rosaceae. The record is from RefSeq and is a predicted model, not a curated record. The transcript has 5 exons.
GCUCGACCUCCAUGGCCAUCAGAGGCGUCGAUUUCAAGUGUUCAGUACCUUUCUUCUUGCUCCGCCUAGGUUUACUGUGCCAGGUUUCUGAUUUUGAAUUGUGAUAUUUUUUGCUUUGCAAGGUACGAUGGAUUCUUCUUGUCGAUGAAUUAUGAAAAUUUAGUUUUGGUUUCUUCAAUUUCUUCUUGAAGAUGAUUGAAAAGUUGCAAUUUUACUAUUGUACUUUAUUGCUUUACAAUUGGGAUUGAUUUGGCUCGGUAGUUCUUUAAUGAUUGGGACUCCUUUUCAUGUGCUUAUUGUUUUCCUUAUGGCAAAGUUUGAAAUUUUUUUGGAAUAAAAUUAGGUUAUUUUCUUCAAAGUAUUUGUGUCUUGUUCUAGAUACUGAGAAAGUUGGAAAUAUUUACGACUGAACUUGUUGAUUGUUCUUCAGUGGGACUCUUGCAUCUUCUAUUUUUGGUGGUUCUUUCUUUGUCCAACUUAUGAUGUGUUCCUGUAUUCAGUGUUGGCAAUUGUGGUUUUUAUGUUAUAAUAAAUUUGGUACAGUUUUGAAUAGUUUUUAUCAUAAAACAAUCUGCUAUCUGGCAAUUGUGUCUGUUUUGUAUAUAUCUUUCUACCCGACCUGAUGACACUAAGGAAAUUAAAGCAAGACUUACUACCUGGCCUAAUGACACUGAGGAAAAAGUAAAUUGGCAUCUUACAUUUUACUCUCAUGUUCUUUAUACAAGUUAUCUUAGGUUGUUCCCUAAACUAGACUCCAUUUUGUCUCAAGUGCUGAAUGAUAAAGAAAAGAAGAGGAAAUUAGGUAAGCCUCUUCUGGAUCUAAGUACUUUAUGAGUUUUCCCUAAACUAGAUGAUUAAUAUUCUAGAGGGAUGGUGUUAAACCUUGCUAUGAGGUAUUAUAUCUGGAGAUGAGUUGUUCUCAUAUACCAAUGCAACUUUUUUUUCUCUGUCUCUCUUGAAGGAGAUUGUUGAUUGGUUUCUGGUGACUAUUUUUGAAGAGAACCAUAAUCUAGUAUCACUCAAAUUUGAAAACUUACUUUAAUUUGGCUAUUUGUUUUGUUUCAGGGAGUAGCUUAAGUCAGUCAUCUUCCAUCCAGGUAAAUUUUGGCUAUACUGUGCAAUUUUCCAUGGUUUUCGAUGUCCAGAUUAUAUUCAACUUUUUGAUCAAUAGUUUUUGUAUCUCCUUUUAUAUUUUGCUUUUGCAAAUUGACAGGAUAACUGGAGGGGAAUUCCUACUAAAUUGAAUAGCAUCCCACACUCUAGAGACAUCAGGAACUAUUUUUAUGAUGAUGUACUGCAAGCCACCAAAAGAUCUAUAAAUGAUGGAGGAAUUCGAUUAAAGGUGGAAAUUAAUAUUCCAGAGCUGAACCCAGAAAUGGAUGUUUAUCGAAUAGGUACCUUAAUGGAACUUGUUCGAACUCUAGCUCUUUCAUUUGCUGAUGAUGGGAAAUCUGUCAAGGCAAUAGAGUUGGUGCUCCAUGGCAGGCAACAUGAUCUCAUCAAGCUUGGCACUCAAAAGGGUGGGAUAUGCAAAAAAUAUGGGAUCAACAAGGCUCUAUGAUGUAUGACUUCUUUAUAGAAAAUGGUUGGCAUGUGGCACCAUAUCAAGCUAUAAUCAGAUCCUUCAAAUACUUAUGUAAUCAAUUUGUAGACAAUUCUAAUCUAGCUAGCAUGCUCUAUAUUUGAAAACUAGUUAUACUAUGAUUUUGUAAUAUGAAGUUAU